AAUGAACGCUGGCGGCAGGCCUAACACAUGCAAGUCGAGCGAGCGGCGGACGGGUGAGUAAUGUCUGGGAAACUGCCUGACGGAGGGGGAUAACUACUGGAAACGGUAGCUAAUACCGCAUACCAUCAGAUGUGCCCAGAUGGGAUUAGCUGGUAGGUGGGGUAACGGCUCACCUAGGCGACGAUCCCUAGCUGGUCUGAGAGGAUGACCAGCCACACUGGAAUUGAACCGCGGUCCAGCCUCCUACGGGAGGCAGCAGAGGGGAAUAUUGGACAAUGGGCGCAAGCCUAAUGCAGCCAGGCGGCGUGUGUGAAGAAGGCUUUCGGGUUGUAAGGCACUUUCUGCGGGGAGGCGUUACCCGCAGAAGAAGCACCGGCUAACUCCGUGCCAGCAGCCGCGGUAAUUC
This 406-nucleotide ribosomal RNA is filed under the name uncultured bacterium. Its description in RNAcentral is "partial 16S ribosomal RNA". It matches the Rfam family "Bacterial small subunit ribosomal RNA", at positions 29 to 526 of the family's 1533-position model. The record is from RNAcentral.